Molecule: ribosomal RNA, 372 nt
Filed under: uncultured eukaryote
Lineage: Eukaryota
Description: partial 18S ribosomal RNA
Rfam family: Eukaryotic small subunit ribosomal RNA
Source: RNAcentral
CAAUAGCGUAUAUUAAAGUUGUUGCAGUUAAAAAGCUCGUAGUUGGAUGUCUGGCUGACUCAGGGUGUCAAUUUUGACUACUCAUGAUGAUGCCAUCUUUGGGCAGGUUCUGUGUGGCAUUCGGUUGUCGUGCAGGAAAUGCCUAUCGUUUACUGUGAAAAAAUUAGGGUGUUCAAAGCAAGCUUACGCUGUUGAAUAUAUUAGCAUGGAAUAAUAAGAUAGGACCUUAGUACUAUUUUGUUGGUUUGUGCACUGAGGUAAUGAUUAAUAGGGACAGUUGGGGGUAUUUGUAUUCCAUUGUAAGAGGUGAAAUUCUUGGAUUUUUGGAAGACAAACUACUGCGAAAGCAUUUACCAAGGAUGUUUUCAUUAA